RNAcentral lists this long non-coding RNA (473 nucleotides) under Homo sapiens (human). RNAcentral describes it as "non-protein coding lnc-LOX-7:1". Lineage: Eukaryota; Metazoa; Chordata; Mammalia; Primates; Hominidae. The record is from RNAcentral.
AUGGCAUCGAAGGAGAAGAAGGAAGCUCCUACCCCUCCUAAAGCAGGAGCCAAAGCAAGGCUUUGAAGGUCAAAGUCAAGUAGGCAAUGUUGAAGGGUGUCAAGAGUUACAAAAAAAAUAAGAUCCAUAUGUCACCCACCUCCCGGCGGUCCAAGACACUGAAACUCUGGAGGUAGCCCAGAUAUCCUCAGAAGAGUGCCGCCAGGAGAAACAAUCUUGACUACUAUGCUGUCAUCAAGUUUCUGUUGACCACUGAGUCUGCCAUGAAGAAUAUAGAAGACAACAACAUGCUUGUAUUCAUUGUGGAUGUUAAAGCCAACAAGCACCAGAUCAAACAGGCUGUGAAGAAGCUCUAUGACAUCGAUGUAGCCAAGGUCAACACCCUGAUUAGGCCUGAGGGAGAGAAGGCAUAUGUUCAACUGGCUCCUGAUUACGAUGCUUUGGAUGUUGCCAACAAAAUUGGGUUCAUGUAA